UACGUAGGGAGCAAGCGUUGUCCGGAAUCAUUGGGCGUAAAGCGCGCGUAGGUGGCCCGGUCAGCGUGCGGUGAAAGCUCGGGGCUCAACCCCGAGUCGGCCGUGCGAACUGCUGGGCUUGAGCACUGUAGAGGCAGGCGGAAUUCCGGGUGUAGCGGUGGAAUGCGUAGAGAUCCGGAAGAACACCGGUGGCGAAGGCGGCCUGCUGGGCAGUGGCUGACACUGAGGCGCGACAGCGUGGGGAGCAAACAGG
Molecule: ribosomal RNA, 253 nt
Filed under: uncultured bacterium
Lineage: Bacteria
Description: partial 16S ribosomal RNA
Rfam family: Bacterial small subunit ribosomal RNA
Source: RNAcentral